CUGAUGCGGCGUGCUACCAUGCAAGUCAGGGAGAAAGGGGUAGCAAUAUCCCGAGUAAACCGGCGCAAGGGUGAGUAACGCGUAGGUAAUCUGCCCUUAGGACGGGAAUAACUUCGAGAAAUCGAGGAUAAUACCCGAUGAAAUCUCGAUGCGGCAUCGUAUUGAGAUCAAAGGUCCGCAAGGACGCCCAAGGAUGAACCUGCGUCCCAUUAGGUAGUUGGCGGGGUAAUGGCCCACCAAGCCGACGAUGGGUAGCUGGUCUGAGAGGACGAUCAGCCACACUGGAACUGAGACACGGUCCAGACUCCUACGGGAGGCAGCAGUGAGGAAUAUUGCGCAAUGCCCGAAAGGGUGACGCAGCGACGCCGCGUGGAGGAUGAAGGCCCUAUGGGUCGUAAACUCCUUUUGUGAGGGAAGAACAGGUUGCUACAGGCAGCCGUGACGGUACCUCAAGAAAAAGCAUCGGCUAACUACGUGCCAGCAGCCGCGGUAAUACGUAGGAUGCGAGCGUUGUCCGGAUUCACUGGGUGUAAAGGGAGCGCAGGCGGGUCAGCAAGUCAUUGGUGAAAUUCUCGGGCUUAACCCGGGGACUGCCAUUGAUACUACUGAUCUUGAGUAUGGAAGAGGUUGGUGGAAUUCAUGGUGUAGCGGUGAAAUGCGUAGAUGUCAUGAAGAACACCGAUGGCGAAGGCAGCCAACUGGUCCAUUACUGACGCUCAUGCUCGAAAGCGUGGGGAUCAAACAGGAUUAGAUACCCUGGUAGUCCACGCCCUAAACGAUGGAUACUCGAUGUCGGCCCGCAAGGGUCGGUGUCCAAGCUAACGCAUUAAGUAUCCCACCUGGGGAGUACGAUCGCAAGGUUGAAACUCAAAGGAAUUGACGGGGGCCCGCACAAGCAGUGGAGCAUGUGGUUUAAUUCGAUGCAACGCGAAGAACCUUACCUGGGUUUGAAAGGCUCUGUAAACCGGUGAAAGCCGGCUAGUGUAGCAUACACACGGAGUACAGUGCUGCAUGGCUGUCGUCAGCUCGUGCCGUGAGGUGUUAGGUUAAGUCCUGCACGAGCGCAACCCCUGCACUAGUGCCAUCAGUCAAGCUGGGCACCUCUAAGUGGACUGCCUACGCAGUAGCGAGGAAAGGGUGGGGGGAUUAACGUCUCAAGGUC
RNAcentral lists this ribosomal RNA (1162 nucleotides) under uncultured bacterium. RNAcentral describes it as "bacterial SSU rRNA". It matches the Rfam family "Bacterial small subunit ribosomal RNA", at positions 36 to 1194 of the family's 1533-position model. The record is from RNAcentral.